Molecule: ribosomal RNA, 2773 nt
Filed under: Phycisphaeraceae bacterium
Lineage: Bacteria; Pseudomonadati; Planctomycetota; Phycisphaerae; Phycisphaerales; Phycisphaeraceae
Description: 23S ribosomal RNA
Rfam family: Bacterial large subunit ribosomal RNA
Source: RNAcentral
UGAUCAGGCACGAAGGGCGCACGGCGGAUGUCUUGGCGUCGAGAGGCGAUGAAGGACGCGAAAACCUGCGAUAAGCCCUAGGGAGCCGGUAAAUAGGCAGAGAUCUAGGGAUUUCCGAAUGGGGCAACCCACCCGCAAGGGUAUUCGGCACUGAAUGCAUAGGUGCCGAAAGCGAACGUGGAGAAGUGAAACAUCUCAGUACCCACAGGAAAAGAAAGCAACAGCGAUUCCGCAAGUAGCGGCGAGCGAACGCGGAUGAACCAAUUGUGCGAGUGAAGUGUCUGGAAAGACACGCUCCAGAAGGUGAAAGCCCUGUAGCCGCACGUUGGGGAUGCCCACGAGUAAACUCGGGCUCGGGAAACCCGGGUUGAAUAUGGGGGGUCCACCCUCCAAGGCUAAAUACUCCUCGACGACCGAUAGCGAACCAGUAAGGCGACUGAACGAUGAAAACUACCGCGACGAGCGGGGUGAAAGAGUAGCUGAAACCGUGCGCUUACAAGCGGUCGGAGCCUCCUCCAAAAGAGGGGUGACGGCGUGCUUUUUGCAUAAUGAGCCGACGAGUUAGCCUAUGCGGCGAGCCUAAGGUCUACCGGACCGGAGGCGGAGCGAAAGCGAGUCUGAAACUGGCGAUCAGUCUCAUGGGCUAGACGCGAAACCUUGUGAUCUACCGUUGGUCAGACUGAAGGGCGGGUAAAACCGCCUGGAGGGUCGAACGCGUGAACGUUGAAAAGUUCUGCGAUGAACUGACGGGAGGGGUCAAAGUCCAAUCAAACUGGGAGAUAGCUCGUUCUCUCCGAAAUAACUCUAGGGUUAGCCUCAGCAAGCAAACUAUGGAGGUAGAGCGACUGGAUGGUCUGAGCGGCCUACCCGGCUAGCCGGACCAACCAAACUCCGAAUGCCAUAGUUCAAGCGCUGGGAGAUAGACGGCGAGUGACAAUAUCCGUCGUCAAAAGGAGAAAAAUCCAGACCACCAGCUAAGGUCCCCAAUUUCUGCUCAGUCAAAGGAAGUCAGGUUGCCGUGACAUCCAGGAUGUUGGCUUAGAAGCAGCCAUCAUUUAAAGAGUGCGUAACAGCUCACUGGACGAGGAAUCUGGCGCCGAUAAUGAUCGGGAAUAAGCAGAAAACCGAAGCUGUGGACUCAAUAGCAAUAUUGAGUGGUAGGAGAGCGUUCUUGGUGCAUCGAAGCUGUACUGUAAAGUUAGGUGGAGCGCCAAGAAGUGCAUAUGUCGGCUUGAGUAACGAUUAGACAGGUGAGAAUCCUGUCCGCCAUAUAUCCAAGGUUUCCUGGGGAAGGUAAAUCCGCCCAGGGUUAGCCGGGUCCUAAGGCGAGGCCGAAAGGCGUAGUCGAUGGAAGUCGGGUCAAUAUUCCCGAGCACCUGCGUAGAUCAAUCCGUUGUGCGGAUUUCCGGAGUUCACGGCCCUGUUGGAUGGGCAGGCCCUUGUGGCCGAUGUGAGCAAAGGGAGUUCCUAGAAAAGCAGCGGUGGCGAAACAGGUCCCGUACCAAAACUGACACAGGUGGAUGAGGCGAAUAGCCUAAGGCGCUCGAGAGAACGGUCGUGAAGGAACUAGGCAACAUAACCCCGUAAGUUCGCGAGAAGGGGGCCCUACUCCGCAAGGAAAGGGCGCAGAGAAAAGGAUCUGGGAACUGUUUAUCAAAAACACAGCUCUGUGCAAAGGUGUAAACCGAAGUAUACAGAGUGACGCUUGCCCGAUGCCGGAAUGUCAAGGAAGUGGCUAAGCGAAAGCGAAGGUCGCGACCGAAGCACCGGCGAAUGGCGGCCGUAACUAUGACGGUCCUAAGGUAGCGAAGUUCCUUGUCGGGUAAGUUCCGACGCGCAUGAAUAGCGUAAUCACUGGAUCACUGUCUCCACGACCGACUCGGUGAAAUAGUAGUGGCGGUGAAGAUACCGCCUACCCGCAGCAAGACGGAAAGACCCCGUGGACCUUUACUAUAGGCUCCUAUUGACCACGAGCAUAUUCUGCGUAGCAUAGGUGGGAGGCUUUGAAGCCUGGAUUCCGGUCCAGGAUUAGCCAAAGGUGAAAUACCACCCUGAGUAAGUUUGUGGUCUAACCUCGUUUCCCGUGAAUCCGGGCGAGGGACAGUUGGUGUCGGGUAGUUUGACUGGGGCGGUCUCCUCCAAAAGAGUAACGGAGGAGCACAAAGUUCGGCUCAGCACGGAUGGAAACCGUGUGUCGAGUGUAAGAGCACAAGCCGGAUUUACUGCGAGACCGACGGGUCGAGCAGUUACGAAAGUAGGUUCUAGUGAUCCUGCGAUCCCGUGUGGAAGGGUCGUAGCUCAACGGAUAAAAGGUACCCCGGGGAUAACAGGCUGAUCGCUCCCGAGCGUCCAUAGCGGCGGAGCGGUUUGGCACCUCGAUGUCGGCCCAUCACAUCCUGGGACUGAAGGCGGCCCCAAGGGUUCGGCUGUUCGCCGAUUAAAGUGGUACGCGAGCUGGGUUCAGACCGGCGUGAGCCAGGUCGGUCCCUAUCUGUUGUGGGCGUCGCAAACUUGACGGGAAUCAACCUUAGUACGAGAGGAUUGGGUUGGACAUACCCCUGGUGAUCCAGUUGCACUGCCAAGUGCACCGCUGGGUAGCUACGUAUGGCAGGGAUAAACGCUGAAAGCAUCUAAGCGUGAAGCCCCCCCGGAGAUGAGGUUUGCUUGUCGUAAGACGGAAGACCCCUGGAAGACCACCAGGUUGAUCGGCCGCGCGUGUACGGGCAGUAAUGCCUUCAGCGGAGCGGUACGAACGGUCGAAUGUCUGAUCACC